GGCUCUUUGGUGUUAGAAAUAAAGAGUCGGACCUGCCCGGUGAAUGUAAUAAACGGUUGCAACGAGAGUUGUACGAAGGUAGCGUGAUAAGUUGUCUUUUAAUUGGAGAAUGGAAUGAAGGGUUUGACGUGAAAUUUCUUUUUUUAUAAAAGGUACUAAAGUUUCCUUCUAAGUGAAAAGGCUUAGGUUUUUGAAAAAGACGAGAAGACCCUGUCGAACUUGAUUAAGAAUUGCUGGUUAUAGGUAUUUGAAAGUUUUAUUGGGGCAAUAUUAACUUAAAAAACAGUUAAUUUAUUCAUAGAUCCUUUUUGAAAGAAAGAGG
This 322-nucleotide ribosomal RNA is filed under the name Mercenaria mercenaria. Its description in RNAcentral is "partial large subunit ribosomal RNA". The record is from RNAcentral. Lineage: Eukaryota; Metazoa; Mollusca; Bivalvia; Venerida; Veneridae.